Molecule: transfer RNA, 68 nt
Filed under: Nacospatangus altus
Lineage: Eukaryota; Metazoa; Echinodermata; Echinoidea; Spatangoida; Maretiidae
Description: Nacospatangus alta tRNA-Arg
Rfam family: tRNA
About the family: Transfer RNA (tRNA) molecules are approximately 80 nucleotides in length. Their secondary structure includes four short double-helical elements and three loops (D, anti-codon, and T loops).
Source: RNAcentral
AAAGGACUAGUUUAAAAGAACACUUGAUUUCGGCUCAAGUAGUCUCGGUUUGACUCCGAGGUCCUUAU